GAUAGCGUGGCCGAGCGGUCUAAGGCGCUGGAUUUAGGCUCCAGUCUCUUUGGAGGCGUGGGUUCGAAUCCCACCGCUGUCA
RNAcentral lists this transfer RNA (82 nucleotides) under Merluccius polli (Benguela hake). It matches the Rfam family "tRNA". From Rfam's summary of the family: Transfer RNA (tRNA) molecules are approximately 80 nucleotides in length. Their secondary structure includes four short double-helical elements and three loops (D, anti-codon, and T loops). Further hydrogen bonds mediate the characteristic L-shaped molecular structure. tRNAs have two regions of fundamental functional importance: the anti-codon, which is responsible for specific mRNA codon recognition, and the 3' end, to which the tRNAs corresponding amino acid is attached (by aminoacyl-tRNA synthetases). tRNAs cope with the degeneracy of the genetic code in two manners: having more than one tRNA (with a specific anti-codon) for a particular amino acid; and 'wobble' base-pairing, i.e. permitting non-standard base-pairing at the 3rd anti-codon position. Lineage: Eukaryota; Metazoa; Chordata; Actinopteri; Gadiformes; Merlucciidae. The record is from Rfam by way of RNAcentral.